Molecule: ribosomal RNA, 493 nt
Filed under: uncultured soil bacterium
Lineage: Bacteria
Description: bacterial SSU rRNA
Rfam family: Bacterial small subunit ribosomal RNA
Source: RNAcentral
AGAAUGAACGCUGGCGGCGUGCUUUACACAUGCAAGUCGAGCGAGGCGGGUAGCAAUACCCAGUCGAGCGGCGAACGGGUGAGUAACACGUGGAUCAUCUACCUUCAGGUGGGGGAUAACCCGGGGAAACUCGGGCUAAUACCGCAUAACAUCGUGAGAUCAAAGGGGCGCAAGUCCCGCCAGAAGAGGAGUCCGCGUUCGAUUAGCUAGUUGGUAGGUAAUGGCCUACAAGGCGACGAUCGAUAGCCGGCCUGAGAGGGUGAUCGGCCACACUGGAACUGAGACACGGUCCAGACUCCUACGGGAGGCAGCAGUGGGGAAUUUGCGCAAUGGGCUAACGCCUGACGCAGCAACGCCGCGUGGAGGAUGAAGGUCUUUGGAUUGGUAAACUCCUGUCAGCAGGAAAAAGGACACGACCUCAUACGUCGUGAACUUGAUUGUACCUGCAGAGGAACGCCCGGCUAACUCUGUCGCCAGCACGCCGACGGUAAUC